Long non-coding RNA from Sardina pilchardus (European sardine), 1498 nucleotides. RefSeq lists it as uncharacterized. The transcript is spliced from 3 exons. The record is from RefSeq and is a predicted model, not a curated record. Lineage: Eukaryota; Metazoa; Chordata; Actinopteri; Clupeiformes; Clupeidae.
UCAGUAGCGUGUAGACAGGUUGGCACCUUCUUCUCAUGCUGGUCACCAACCUGGCUACAUUCUGCUGUGGGAUGGCAUUCCAUUCCUCGAUAAGGAUCUGUUGUAAGUCAGCCAACCUGGUUUUGUUGGUAACUCUGGCACGUACAGCACGCCCAAGCUGAUCCCACAAGUGUUCACGGCAGGCCAUUCUAUCCUCUCCACUCCCAAAUCCUCUAGAGGUACUCUCUGAUGAUCCCAGCUCUAUGGGGGCGAGCGUUGUCAUCCUGGAGGAUGGCAAUUGGUCCCAUAUUCUGGAGAUAUGGAAUUGCCACUGGCUCCAGAAUCUCAUUCCGGUAUCUAACUGCAUGAUGAUUGCCUUCAAUGAUAACAAGGUCUGUCAUUCCAGUUAGGGAGAUGUCACCCCACAGCAGAAUGUAGCCAGGUUGGUGACCUGCAUGAGAAGAAGGUGCCAAGCUGUUGUGGCUGCAUAUGGAUCCUCUACACGCUACUGAGGACCCUGACACUGAGUAUAAAAUGAACAAAUUUUGUAGAAGUCCUCUGAAGUCUUCGUCGAAGCCACGCUGAAGCUACGAUAGCAGAGAAACUGAAGCUAAACCGACGAGACUUACAUUCUUCCAUACUGUCUAGCGGUCAGAAGCCGCAAUUACGAAGUUGUUCAGACCCAGGAUGCACGCUGCUCCACUGCCCUUUCUGCCCAGAGUACAAGGGUGACUACGCCAGGGUGGAAACGCACAUGCAGAGCCAUUUGAAAACGGUGGUACAUUAUGGAGGUAUGUUUGAGAUUGAUAGUUAAGCCCUUAGCCCUGUAUCAUGGUCUUCUAUGAAACUGUAUGGAUUGGUUCUGAAAUUAAAAAAGGUUCUGAAAGUAAUGUUAUUAGUAAUGAAGUGAAGUUGCCAUUCAAUUGUUUCAUGUAACGUUAGCAGGCUAUUUGAUGUUUAUAUCUAUUUCUUAUUUAAUUAUUCUUUUGUUGUUCAGAAUAUGUGAUCUACAAAUGCAAUUUGGGCUGCAGAAAGGGCAGUCACCACCACUGUGGUUGUAGCCUCACCUUUCCCAGGAAGAGUAGCUUUGAAAUCUACAGGAUUGCACAUUUGUUCUCUGCCAACAAAAGUUGGAAAAAUGCAUGCUUGGUGCUUAAACACAGGCUAUGGGAGGUACUUGGUACAAGAUGUACAAUUUCCAAAGUAGCUCCCAUGGCACACGCACACACCAACACACACACACGCACACACCAACACACGCACGCACGCACACACACACCAACACACACACACAGGCCAAGAUUUUGUUUUACUUUUAUUGAUUUUAUCUUGCAUGGCCUGCAGAAGUUUCUCUUCUGUGUUUGUUCUACAACAAAGUUUUGGCGAAAUCUACAGGAUUGCCCAUUUGCACAUUUGUUCUCUAACAAAAGUUGGGAAAAUGCAUGCUUGGUGCUUAAACUGAUGAAACAUGAAAAAAGUUGAUCUCUUCUGGGUUAGUCCUAUAAUAAAGUUUAGGCUA